This 694-nucleotide unclassified non-coding RNA is filed under the name Hevea brasiliensis (rubber tree). The record is from RNAcentral. Lineage: Eukaryota; Viridiplantae; Streptophyta; Magnoliopsida; Malpighiales; Euphorbiaceae.
GAAUGGAUCGAGCGAGGCAGCUUCACUCUUCACUCAGCAAGGCAAGAAAGGAACGAAUCAAGAUGCCAUGGUUGUUUGGGAGAACUUCGCUUCCAGAACAGAUACUGUAUUCUGUGGUGUUUUUGAUGGCCACGGUCCUCAUGGCCAUAUGGUUGCCAAGCGAGUCAGAGAUUCCCUUCCCUCGAAGCUAAGUGCACAUUGGGAAGUUAGUCUGAAAAGUGAGGAUGUCCUAAAGGAGAUCAGUCUAAAUGCUGGGGCUAGCCUAUAUCCCGAGGAUGCUUCCCUUAUAUCCGCGGCCGAUGACUCUAGGGUUUCAAUUGAUGUUGAAGAGACUGGAAAGCACCCAGAGAUCUUUCAGACUUUGAAGGAAUCAUUUUUGAAGGCUUAUAAGGUUAUGGACAGGGAACUGAAAAGCUACACUAAUAUUGACUGCUUCUGUAGUGGGACAACAGCUGUAACCCUUAUUAAACAGGGCCAGGAUCUUGUUAUAGGAAAUGUAGGCGACUCCCGAGCAAUUCUAGGUACCAGAGACAAAGAUGGUUCUCUAACUGCUGUACAAUUGACAGUGGAUCUGAAGCCUAAUCUACCAGCGGAGGCUGAAAGAAUUCGUAAAUGUAGAGGGCGUGUUUUUUCUCUUCGCGAUGAACCAGAGGUUGCAAGAGUGUGGUUGCCAAAUAGUGACUCUCCUGGACUU